RNAcentral lists this ribosomal RNA (293 nucleotides) under uncultured bacterium. RNAcentral's name for it is "partial 16S ribosomal RNA". It matches the Rfam family "Bacterial small subunit ribosomal RNA", at positions 27 to 320 of the family's 1533-position model. The record is from RNAcentral.
GAUUGAACGCUGGCGGCAUGCCUUACACAUGCAAGUCGAACGGCAGCACGGGGGCAACCCUGGUGGCGAGUGGCGAACGGGUGAGUAAUACAUCGGAACGUGCCCCGUAGCGGGGGACAACCAGUCGAAAGACUGGGCUAAUACCGCAUACGCUCCACGGAGGAAAGCAGGGGAUCGCAAGACCUUGCACCAUGGGAAGCGGCCGAUGCCCGAUUAGCUAGUUGGUGAGGUAAAGGCUCACCAAGGCAACGAUCGGUAGCUGGUCUGAGAGGACGACCAGCCACACUGGGACU